This 429-nucleotide RNase P RNA is filed under the name Pseudomonadota bacterium. RNAcentral's name for it is "RNase P RNA component class A". It matches the Rfam family "Bacterial RNase P class A". Rfam says of the family: Ribonuclease P (RNase P) is a ubiquitous endoribonuclease, found in archaea, bacteria and eukarya as well as chloroplasts and mitochondria. Its best characterised activity is the generation of mature 5'-ends of tRNAs by cleaving the 5'-leader elements of precursor-tRNAs. Cellular RNase Ps are ribonucleoproteins. Lineage: Bacteria; Pseudomonadati; Pseudomonadota. The record is from RNAcentral.
UCAGAGGGUUGGGCGAUCGCGAUGUGUGCAAGCAUCUCGAGGAAAGUCCGGGCUCCACGUAACGACGGUGCCGGGUAACGCCCGGCGGGCCAGAGAGCGAUUUCUGGUUCAGGGAUAGUGCCACAGAGAGCAGACCACCGGUCUUCGGAUCGGCCAGGGUGAAAGGGUGCGGUAAGAGCGCACCGCGGGGCUGGUAACAGCACCGGCACGGCAAACCCCACCGGGAGCAAGACCGAAUAGGGGCGGCACAGGGGCGCCCCAGAAAGUACUACUUUCUGGGGAACCCCAUGGGUUUGUUGCAACUCGUCGCCCGGGUUGGUUGCUAGAGGCGGCGCGCAAGCGUCGUCCGAGAGGAAUGAUCGCCCAGUUCCCAAACCUUGAAGAGGGUGGGGGGAUGGACAGAACCCGGCUUACAGACCCUCUGGCACU